UGAGCAAUCUGCCCUUCUCAUCGGAAUAAGCGUUGGAAACGACGUCUAAUGCCGAAUACGACCUCCUUCGCAUGAUCGGAGGUGGAAAGCUCCGGCGGAGAAGGAUGAGCUCGCGGCCUAUCAGCUAGUUGGUGUGGGUAAUGGCCCACCAAGGCGACGACGGGUAGCCGGCCUGAGAGGGUGACCGGCCACACUGGGACUGAGACACGGCCCAGACUCCUACGGGAGCAG
This 231-nucleotide ribosomal RNA is filed under the name uncultured bacterium. RNAcentral describes it as "partial 16S ribosomal RNA". It matches the Rfam family "Bacterial small subunit ribosomal RNA", at positions 118 to 347 of the family's 1533-position model. The record is from RNAcentral.